Molecule: long non-coding RNA, 794 nt
Filed under: Nicotiana benthamiana
Lineage: Eukaryota; Viridiplantae; Streptophyta; Magnoliopsida; Solanales; Solanaceae
Description: long non-coding RNA (NBEN_LNC039472)
Source: RNAcentral
AAGUUAAAACAGAACUAUAAACCUGCCUUCAUAUACCUCCCUGCUUGUCUCAUAAGCCAAACAGGAGGCCUUUCUACUUCUUUACCCCGUACAGCAUCCAGCAACAAAGGUUCUGUUGCAUUUAUAGCUUUUGGUUCCGCAACAGUUCCUGGAAGUUAAAAUCAAUAUGAGAAUUCAACCAACUUAAGAAGCUGAAGGUAUAAUUGCAUGGGAAUAAAUAGCUAAAACUCUCAUUGGUCUGGGGGUGUAUAUGGAAAUUUCAGAUAAAAGCUAACAGUCUAAUAGAUGCAAUUUUACAUACUAGAAUUGAAAUUACUAUUUUAAUGAAGAAUAAAUUGGGGUCCUUGAGGCUUGCUUAAUUGUCCAAACCCCUAACAGCAUCAAGCAACAAAGGUUCAGUUGCAUUUAUAGCCUUUGGUUCAGCAACAGUUCCUGGAAAUUAAGAGCAGCAUCAAUCACACGACCAUCUAAAAAAUACAAUAAAUCUAUUUGAAAUUUUGGAAAAUUAGAAGGUUUCUAGUCCUAAGAGAUAAGCACAUUAAAUACAACGUGCACUGCAACAACACAAGGAUCUAAGAGAUACUAGCCAUGGAUUCGGUACAAGGAGAAUCUAAAGGAUAUCUAGGUUUAUCUUUAAUAGCUCACUGUUUGACGAUAGGACAUUGCUCACUCAUUUAGCUUGUUGUAAGAAAUAUUCAGUGAUGAAAAAUUGAAAAUUAAGCUCAUUUCCCAUUGAGUUUGACUAAUAUGUUAUUCCAACCUAGUUGACAAGUUUUUGAUGAAGUUCGACCUAG